Long non-coding RNA from Pyrus x bretschneideri (Chinese white pear), 633 nucleotides. RefSeq lists it as uncharacterized. The record is from RefSeq and is a predicted model, not a curated record. Lineage: Eukaryota; Viridiplantae; Streptophyta; Magnoliopsida; Rosales; Rosaceae. The transcript has 2 exons.
CAUGACGAAUAAGACAUCCGUCUGGCAGCAGGAGCGGGAGCAAGACCAUCCCAAUUGCAUCUUCCUACCGCAAAACCUCAAAUUCCGAUCACUCACGCCUUCAAACUCGGUGCCGUUAAAUCAGCGCCUGUCAAUUUCAGGUUCAAGAAGAGCGUUUUGAGAUUGCAAAUAAGGGAAAGAUGGCAUGCUGUGUCUGCAUCAAAAAACUCAAACCCUCCUCUGUCUGACUAUGGAGAUUCGAUCAAAGAUAAAUCGGGCACGGUUGAAAAGGAUGAUGCUGCCCAAGGCCCUUCUCUGCCAACCAUUUUGGCUGGACUUCUAAGGCUUAUCGUUCCUUUUCUCGUGUUUGUUUUUGCAUCAGUUCUAUCUUGGUGUAUUGGUUUAUUGGGCACUAGGCAAUUUUUAGAUUGGGCGUUGUCCUCGUCUCGUAAAUAAAUUCAGAACCUUGUCUACUAACCAUUUUGGCUGGAUUUCUGAGAUUUUUUCGGCCUUUUUCUCAUGUUUGUUCUUAUCAGUUCAGUUGUAUUCUGGUACAUUGGUAUUUGGAUUGAUACUAUGAUGAUUUUCCUCCUAAAUAAAUAUUCCAUUUCAUAAGUUUAAUAGAGAAGGAUGCAGGGACAUUUUGAUGUUUCA